AGGUUUAAUUCUUUCACUGGUUUUGACAGAGAACGCCGAGAGAGAGAGAGAACUAGAGAGAAGAAGGAUUUUGGUGUGAAUCAAGGAGAAAGAAGCUUGACUUGAAGAUUUUGGACUUUCUAAAGCUUGGUUUUCAAGAUUUCUUCAAGAUUGAGGUAAGAUUUCCAUGGAUUUCAAGCUAGGGUUUAUGGGUUUUGUGGGAUUUCGUGAAAUUAGAAGUUUUGGGGUAAAGGAUUGUUGAGUAAUCAAAGUUUAUGUAUAUUAAUGCUAGAUUUGAGCUUGGAUUGAAGUGUGGAGAUAGGAGGAGAGGUGGUUGUCCUAUGGUUUGAAGAUUUGGGCAAGGUUAUUGAACUUGGAAGAUUGGUGACUAGAGUUGUGGUGAGAUUUUACUCAAACGAGGUGAUAUAGGUACUAGCGCUAGUGCUCCGACUACGGAUCAGCAGGGAGGAGCGUGACGCGGACGGCCUAGACUUGUGGUGAUUGUUGUUUAUUUUGUGUGGUCUUUGAUUAGUCUUAGGCUUAAUGGUAUAUUGGGAUAUAUACGAAAUGUGUGGGAUGAAUGAUGAUUUUGGAUGGUUAGGCUUGAUACCUGGGUAUGUAUGUGUGUAUGAUGAGUUAUGUUUGAGAUGAUAUGGCCGGAGGCCCUGGAUAUUUAGUUUGGUGUUAUGGGAAUUGUGUGUUUUAAAUUGUUGUGUUUUAUGCAGGAGGCAUUCUCCGAUAUACGGGGAGGUGCUGCCGAAUUUUU
This is a long non-coding RNA of Tripterygium wilfordii, 745 nucleotides long. RefSeq lists it as uncharacterized. The transcript is spliced from 3 exons. Lineage: Eukaryota; Viridiplantae; Streptophyta; Magnoliopsida; Celastrales; Celastraceae. The record is from RefSeq and is a predicted model, not a curated record.